CACCAGGUUGAUUCUGCCUGACGUAUGUGCUUGUCUUAAAGAUUUAGCCAUGCAAGUUAGUGAAACUUUUUAAGUGAAACGACAGACAGCUCAGUAAUACAGUAAUGAUUAACUUGCCUAAUAUAGGAUAACCUUGGUAACCUAAGGCUAACACUUUUUUCAAAUUAAAAUGUAGGUGAAACUAUUUUUAAUUUUUUUUUGGGGCAAUUAAGUUUCUGACCUAUCAGCUAGAUGUUAGGGUAAAGGCUUAACAUGGCUACAACGGGUAACGGAGAAUCAGGGUUUGAUUCCGGAGAGGGAGCCUGAGAAUUAGCUACCACGUCUAAGGAUGGCAGCAGGCGCGAAAAUUACCCAAUUCCUUAAUGGGAGAGGUAGUGAAAAGACAUGAUUUUCAUUUCGAUUGAGUCGGUACAUUAAAUAAGUACUGAAGCAACUGGAGGGCAAGUCUGGUGCCAGCAGCCGCGGUAAUUCCAGCUCCAGUAGCGCAUAUAAUAGUUGCUGCAGUUAAAAUGUCCGUAGUUGAUUUAAUUAAACUGUGAGUAAAUUAUAGAGCUCAAAACUAUAAGUAAGCAUGGUAUUAUAAGAUAAUAGGAACAGAUGAUGGCAAUAGUAUUCAAUAGUUAGAGGUGAAAAUUUAAGACCUAUUGAGGACUACCAGAAGCGAAAGCGAUUGUCAAGGAUGUCUCCAUUAAUAAGGGACUUAAGCUAGAGUAUCGAAGAUGAUUAGAUACCGUCGUAGUUCUAGCUGUAAACGAUGCCUACUAGGUGAUGUUUAAAUGGCUAUGCCUUAGGAGAAAUCAAAGUCUACGGGCUCUGGGGAUAGUAUACUGGCAACGGUGAAACUUAAAUGAAAUUGACGGAAGAAUACCACGAGGAGUGGAUUAUGCGGCUUAAUUUGACUCAACGCGGGACAACUUACCAGAGCCGAACCUGUAUGAGAAUUUAUAAUGUAAAUGAUAAUAGGGAAGGUGGUGCAUGGCCGUUUUCAACACGUGGGGUGACUUGUCAGGUUAAUUCCGAUAACGCGUGAGGUUUAUUAAAUAAUUGUUUAUUUGACGGAUGAUAAGAAAUCAUAGGAAGUUAAGCUAUAACAGGUCGGUGAUGCCCCUAGAUGUUCUGGGCUGCACGCGUACUACAAUGAUAUAUUUAAUAUUAAUAUUGAGAAAUAUAACUCUAAUAUAUAUCGAAGCUGGGAUAAGCUAUUGUAAAUUAGUUUUGAACUUGGAAUUCCUAGUAAUCAUAAGUCAUUAUGUUAUGAUGAAUGCGUCCCUGUUCUUUGUACACACCGCCCGUCACUAUCUAAGAUGGAUGUAUAGGUGAAAUGGCUAGACGUAAAUGGAAAGCAGUUAACCUGUGCAACUAAUAGGAUAUAAGUCGUAACAAGGCUGCUAUAGGUGAACCAGCAGCAGGAUCAUAA
Molecule: ribosomal RNA, 1417 nt
Filed under: Janacekia debaisieuxi
Lineage: Eukaryota; Fungi; Microsporidia; Tuzetiidae
Description: Microsporidia small subunit ribosomal RNA
Rfam family: Microsporidia small subunit ribosomal RNA
Source: Rfam by way of RNAcentral